Molecule: long non-coding RNA, 2867 nt
Organism: Dreissena polymorpha
Lineage: Eukaryota; Metazoa; Mollusca; Bivalvia; Myida; Dreissenidae
Exons: 2
Source: RefSeq, a predicted model, not a curated record
AUAAUUGAGAGCUUUUAUGGUAAAUAUUUACCAGAAAGUGAUUUAUAAAAACGAUAUUAUCGGGUAAUAAAUAGAAACUUGAAAAGUAGUAAGUAUACAGUAAUAGAGUCGGGUUGAAACGGAUGUAUUGGAGAAUCGUUCGAGUCGGGAUUUUACUCUGUGUAGGAAAGUUUUAAAACAAUUAAACAAUUAUAUAUAUUUUUAAUUGACUGGGGGAUUUUCUUGAAGAGUCACCAAAUGACGUCUUUUGACGUUGUUUUUCUUUGAGUUAUAACGCACUACAGAACGUGAAUUGACACGUUAAAUUAAAAAAAAUCAACGUCGCGACACCCCUCCUGAACCACCCCUAUCAGCCCCGGGGCGCCUGACAAAAAUCCUGUGAAAAGCACCGAUGGUGAAUAGAGCAUACAAAAGAAUAACAAAGUAGAUAAAAAAGCAAUUAUUUCUUGCUUUAAUGGUCCCAUUUGUAUGAAUUUGUGGUUAAGACAGGUAAACGUUGAUAAGUUGAUAAGUUUUUGCAGCAUCAGUGUUCCUUAGUCCCUGCAGUGGUGAUAAUUAAUAAUAAUAUUUUGCACCUCGGGACAAUAGACGGCGAAUUGCUUUCUCCACAACCCUUUUGGCUUAUAAAGCUUAGAGUUGAAUUAUUGCAACAAUCGCCCGGAGUCCCAUCGGUACUUUAAUCCGUAAUAUUAUCAGCAUAAACUAUUUUCUUGCAUAAAUAAACACAAUCACAUCAUAUAUACACAUGUAUAUAUAUAUAUAUAUAUAUAUAUCAAUAACGCACAAAUUAAAACAACUUACAUGAUGUGGUGUGCUAGCAUAAGAAUAAUAUAAAUCCGAAGUUUCAAACAUGUCAACGUUUCAUGAAAAUGUGUAAGUUUAUAAUGGAAAGGCCGAGUAUUCCGAAUUUAAAAAUAGUCAUCUAUUGUCUCAGUAAUCAAGAGGAUAGAUCUGAUGUCUUAUCAACCAAUAGUAAUACACCAACUUUCUUUGAAACCUCCGUAAGAUGGAUCAAAUCGUCAAUUCAAAACUUCGGCUUUUUUUGUUUGAACUUUAAGUUUUGAGAAUUUAUCCACAAAUAGCACACAAUUUGAUAUCAAUGGUAACAGGUAUAAAACCGCAUUGUGUUUGUUAAGCGGUUCUAGGUUGAUUGAAUUCGCUUUUAUAGACAAACUUGAGACUUCUUAAUUUGGUCUUAUCAGGAAGAAGCAUUCAAUAAGAACUUGAAACACCUCUUUGUAUGCCCCCAAAGGAGGGCAUAUAGUGAUUGAACUGUCCGUCCGUCUGUCCGUCACACUUUGCGUUUAGGUUUCGAAAAAUGCUCAUAACUUCUAUGUCGCUUCAGAUAGCAAUUUUAUAUUUGGCAUGCAUGUGUAUAUGGACAAGGCCUUUCCAUACGCACACAAAUUUUGACCCCUGUGACCUUGAACUUAGGGUCCGCGUUAAGGUUUCGAAAUCUGCGUUUAGGUUUCGAAAAAUGCUCAUAACUUCUAUCAAGCGUUUAUAGGGGGCAUAAGUCAUCCUAUGGUGACAGCUCUUGUUUUAAAAAACAAAUUCAUAAACUUGUUUCAAUUGUGAAAUUGAGUUCUUGUAUCAAUAAGAGUUUAAGUCAUGUUUUAGCACUUACAUCAUAAAAUACCUUUACUGAAUGAUAUGCCUUGAUUUUGUUGAGUCGUGGGUUUAAAGAUUAUCAGAGAUCACUUGGUUCAAUAUUCGAACACAAUGCAGUAUGUUCUGGUAAAAAGUAUUUAAAAAAUCAUCGUUUUGAUCAUUAAAAAAGGGGAAAAAAAACAGUUAAAUAUUAUAAUUUUGUUUUGCAACACACAAUUGUUUAUUGAGGAGUAUUUGCAUGCAACUGCAUCUGUUAACAUUUUUUAACAAGAAAGUUGAAAUACAUGUAAUACAGCCAAUCAGAACCCAUGAUUCAAGAAGGACCUUACUUUUAAGAUGGCGGUUUGACACUAUCAACACAAUAAAUUAUUUGGAUGUUAACAGAUGGUAAACAUUUGAAAAAAAAGCAACAAAUAUGAAAAACAAAGUAAAAAAAAUAGGUUAAUAAUGAUUCAUGGUCAAACAAAUGGAGUUCCAAUUGUUGUUAAACAUUAGUGGAAAAAUGUAAUUGUUGACAUAAUAUUUAUGCCCCCCUUCGAAGAAGAGGGGGUAUAUUGCUUUGCUCAUGUCGGUCUGUCGGUCGGUCAGUCCGUCCACCAGGUGGUUGUCAGACGAUUACUCAAGAACGCUUGGGCCUAGGAUCAUGAAACUUCAUAGGUACAUUGAUCAUGACUCGCAGAUAACCCCUAUGGAUUUUGAGGUCACUAGGUCAAAGGUCAAGGUCACGGUGACCCGAAAUAGUAAAAUGGUUUUUGAAUGAUAACUCAAGAACGCAUACGCCUAGGAUCAUGAAACUUCAUGGGUAGAUUGAUCAUGACUCGCAGAUGACCCCUAUUGAUUUUGAGGUCACUAGGUCAAAGGUCAAGGUCACGGUGACCCGAAAUAGUAAAAUGGUUUUCGGAUGAUAACUCAAGAACGCAUAUGCCUAGGAUCAUGAAACUUCACAGGUAGAUUGAUCAUGACUCGCAGAUGACCCCUAUUGAUUUUGAGGUCACAAGGUCAAAGGUCAAGGUCACGGUGACCCGAAAUAGUAAAAUGAUUUUCGGAUGAUAACUCAAAAACGCUUUUGCCUAGGAUCAUGACACUUCAUAGGUAUAUUGAUCGUGACUCGCAGAUGACCCCUAUUGAUUUUCAGGUCAUUAGGUCAAAGGUCAAGGUCACAGUGACAAAAAACGUAUUUACACAAUGGCUGCCACUACAACGGACAGCCCAUAUGGGGGGCAUGCAUGUUUUACAAACAGCCCUUGUUAUAUUUU